GGUGGCUCAGUGGUAGAGUGCUUGCCUUGCAUGCAUAAGGCCUGGGAUUCGAUUCCUCAGCACCA
RNAcentral lists this transfer RNA (65 nucleotides) under Dipodomys ordii (Ord's kangaroo rat). It matches the Rfam family "tRNA". From Rfam's summary of the family: Transfer RNA (tRNA) molecules are approximately 80 nucleotides in length. Their secondary structure includes four short double-helical elements and three loops (D, anti-codon, and T loops). Further hydrogen bonds mediate the characteristic L-shaped molecular structure. tRNAs have two regions of fundamental functional importance: the anti-codon, which is responsible for specific mRNA codon recognition, and the 3' end, to which the tRNAs corresponding amino acid is attached (by aminoacyl-tRNA synthetases). tRNAs cope with the degeneracy of the genetic code in two manners: having more than one tRNA (with a specific anti-codon) for a particular amino acid; and 'wobble' base-pairing, i.e. permitting non-standard base-pairing at the 3rd anti-codon position. The record is from Rfam by way of RNAcentral. Lineage: Eukaryota; Metazoa; Chordata; Mammalia; Rodentia; Heteromyidae.